Molecule: ribosomal RNA, 553 nt
Filed under: uncultured archaeon
Lineage: Archaea
Description: bacterial SSU rRNA
Rfam family: Archaeal small subunit ribosomal RNA
Source: RNAcentral
CGGGGUGCAGCAGGCGCGAAAACUUUACAAUGCCGGCAACGGCGAUAAGGGAACCUCGAGUGCCAGGUUACAAAUCUGGCUGUCGUGAUGCCUAAAAAGCAUUGCAUAGCAAGGGCCGGGCAAGACCGGUGCCAGCCGCCGCGGUAACACCGGCGGCUCGAGUGGUAACCGUUAUUAUUGGGUCUAAAGGGUCUGUAGCCGGCCGGGUAAGUCUCUUGGGAAAUCUGGCAGCUUAACUGUCAGGCUUUCAGGAGAUACUGCCUGGCUCGAGGCCGGGAGAGGUGAGAGGUACUUCAGGGGUAGGGGUGAAAUCUUGUAAUCCUUGAAGGACCACCAGUGGCGAAGGCGUCUCACCAGAACGGACCUGACGGCAAGGGACGAAAGCUAGGGGCACGAACCGGAUUAGAUACCCGGGUAGUCCUAGCCGUAAACGAUACUCGCUAGGUGUCGGCCACGGUGCGACCGUGGUCGAUGCCGUAGGGAAGCCGUGAAGCGAGCCACCUGGGAAGUACGGCCGCAAGGCUGAAACUUAAAGGAAUUGGCGGGGGAGCAC